AGUGUCACAAAUUCCAGGGCCAACUCUCCUUCCCAUUCUAUACAAAGACAACAAAAAUGAAAAGAAACUAGGAAGAUGGUUCUGAAGAUUGCUCCUUUUCUUUGGGAAAGAAACCAUGCAAAGUUUCAGAGUAUACAAGUACCACAGGGCUUAUUUGAUGUUCAACAACACCAACAAUUUUGGGGAACCUGAGAGUGAUCAAUGGCCAAAGGAAACAAUUAAU
RNAcentral lists this long non-coding RNA (223 nucleotides) under Marmota monax (woodchuck). The record is from RNAcentral. Lineage: Eukaryota; Metazoa; Chordata; Mammalia; Rodentia; Sciuridae.